This 401-nucleotide ribosomal RNA is filed under the name uncultured bacterium. Its description in RNAcentral is "bacterial SSU rRNA". It matches the Rfam family "Bacterial small subunit ribosomal RNA", at positions 356 to 773 of the family's 1533-position model. The record is from RNAcentral.
GGGGAAUCUUGCGCAAUGGGCGAAAGCCUGACGCAGCAACGCCGCGUGCGGGAUGAAGGCCUUCGGGUUGUAAACCGCUUUCAGUAGGGACGAAAUCGACGGUACCUACAGAAGAAGCCCCGGCCAACUACGUGCCAGCAGCCGCGGUAACACGUAGGGGGCGAGCGUUGUCCGGAUUUAUUGGGCGUAAAGAGCUCGUAGGCGGCUCGGUAAGUCGGGUGUGAAAACUCUGGGCUCAACCCAGAGACGCCACCCGAUACUGCUGUGGCUUGAGUCCGGUAGGGGAGCGUGGAAUUCCUGGUGUAGCGGUGAAAUGCGCAGAUAUCAGGAGGAACACCAGCGGCGAAGGCGGCGCUCUGGGCCGGAACUGACGCUGAGGAGCGAAAGCGUGGGUAGCAAAC